UCGAGAACCGACCGAGAGACCGCGAACCUGUAAACGGACGACACCAUUUCAGGCGGGCAUUAUGCCUGCCCUACAUGGGACCUCGCAUCGUGUCCGCGGCCGCCUACGAGCGUUCCUGGCAUGAUUUGUGGGGGAUGAACGAAACCCCGGCACGGCCUGUGCCAAGGAAAUAUAUGUCAGGACGGACGCGCGUCAACGCCUCUGUGGUGGGGCGACAUCCGCUCUCUAUC
RNAcentral lists this unclassified non-coding RNA (230 nucleotides) under Lilium henryi (Henry's lily). RNAcentral's name for it is "ITS 1". Lineage: Eukaryota; Viridiplantae; Streptophyta; Magnoliopsida; Liliales; Liliaceae. The record is from RNAcentral.